RNAcentral lists this ribosomal RNA (492 nucleotides) under uncultured bacterium. RNAcentral describes it as "partial 16S ribosomal RNA". It matches the Rfam family "Bacterial small subunit ribosomal RNA", at positions 29 to 507 of the family's 1533-position model. The record is from RNAcentral.
AGUGAACGCUGGCGGUAGGCCUAACACAUGCAAGUCGAACGGCAGCACAGUAAGAGCUUGCUCUUACGGGUGGCGAGUGGCGGACGGGUGAGGAAUACAUCGGAAUCUACUUUUUCGUGGGGGAUAACGUAGGGAAACUUACGCUAAUACCGCAUACGACCUACGGGUGAAAGCAGGGGAUCUUCGGACCUUGCGCGAUUGAAUGAGCCGAUGUCGGUUUAGCUAGUUGGCGGGGUAAAGGCCCACCAAGGCGACGAUCCGUAGCUGGUCUGAGAGGAUGAUCAGCCACACUGGAACUGAGACACGGUCCAGACUCCUACGGGAGGCAGCAGUGGGGAAUAUUGGACAAUGGGCGCAAGCCUGAUCCAGCCAUACCGCGUGGGUGAAGAAGGCCUUCGGGUUGUAAAGCCCUUUUGUUGGGAAAGAAAAGCAGCAGGUUAAUACCCCGCUGUUCUGGCGGUACCCAAAGAAUAAGCACCGGCUAACUUCGUG